Molecule: unclassified non-coding RNA, 256 nt
Filed under: uncultured fungus
Lineage: Eukaryota; Fungi
Description: partial contains small subunit ribosomal RNA, internal transcribed spacer 1, and 5.8S ribosomal RNA
Rfam family: Eukaryotic small subunit ribosomal RNA (bases 1-73)
Source: RNAcentral
UCAAACUUGGUCAUUUAGAGGAAGUAAAAGUCGUAACAAGGUUUCCGUAGGUGAACCUGCGGAAGGAUCAUUAACGAAUGUUAUUAUCAUCAUUUUGUGAAUCAUGACCACUUUUAGUGGUUUUUGCUUCGGCGCUGGAUUUAACUAUCUAGCGCCGGUAGAAAACUUUUUAAAACUUUGUCUAAACUUAAAGAUUUAAAUAAUUAAAACUUUCAACAACGGAUCUCUAGGUUCUCGCAUCGAUGAAGAACGCAGC